GAUUCAGCUAAAGAUAUGGACAUCCUAUCCUGUGGAGAAGAGUUAGAAGGUGAGGCAAUGCUGGCACCUUAUGAGAUUCUCACCAGAAACGGAACAGUUCCAUCUUUGUUGGCCAUGCCUGUGCUGCUGAUGAAAGGCUCGUGGAGGAUGCAGAGCUAGGGAUUACCAACCAACCUAUAAGAAAAAUGCUCUGAUUACUGGCAAGCAAAGCUCAGAGUCCAGAACACAUGGGUAUUCUGGAGUAUGAGGACAUUUGGACUUGAUAAGAUAUGUUCAGCUGAACACAAUCUUGAGGAAACAUCAAUGCUUGCAUAACCACUUAUCCUGUUGGAAAACUGUUAUGAGAUUUGCCUUAGACUCUCGAAGAUUUCACACAGGUCAAUGUAAUAUAUGGAUAAUGGAAGGUGCAAAGAGCAGUUGGAAGCACAUGAUGCAAAAACCACACCAUUCUCCCACCACCCAAGACCUGGGCAGCUGAACAUACUCUUGAGAAGGAGAACCAGCUUGAGACUAUCACACAGACUUUUGGACAAAAUCUCAGACUGCUGCCUGUUCUGCCACAUGUUCACUACAGUGGACAGAUGUUUGAGUCUCCAAAGAAGAGCUGGGAGCUGAUAAGGCAGUACCUGGAAUGUGUUCCACUUCUCGAGGCAGGUUCUAUGGAGUUGUUUCCAUGAAGGAACAGAAAACAGUCUCUGCUCAGGAGCUUUCUGAUUUGUUGAGCACGUUUCUCAUGGAUGCCAGUGAAGAGGCAAUUGCAAGUUUCAGAGGUUUGGUCCCUUCUCAUCGUGGCAGGCAGCAUGGCGGCACAUAGGCAGACAUGAUAGCUGAGAGUUCUACAUCCAGAUCCACGGGCAGCAAGAGGAGAGAAACUCUGGGCUUGGAAUGGGCUUUUUGAAACUUCAAAGCCCACCCCCCAGUGACACACUUCCUCCAAUAAAGCCACAUCUCAUAAUCAAUUCAACAGUGUCAUUCCCUGGAGACAAAGUAUUCAAAUCUAUAUGCCUAUGGGGACCAUUCUCCUUCAAACCACCAUAACCAGCAUGCCUUGAUCACUGAAGUUUCAUUCCUCUAACACAACCUGUGGCCUCCCCUUACCUGGGAAACUUCUACUGUCUCAGCAGGGCUGCUUCUACUUAGUGGCAUUGAGCAUUUGCAGCAGCAAGCUGUCCUUGGGCAGGGGCAAUCCCGCUGGUGGGCCAUCUCCUGCAACUGCCCAGCAGGAGGCUUCCCAUGAGUACUAGGCUCCUGAAAUACUUCCAGUCUUAGCCUGCAUAAUUGCACAGUCACUUUAGUAACCAGCUGGGCUGCAGUGGGACCCAGUGCGUGCUCUGUGCAGGCAUAGGGCCCACUGAUCCCAGCAGGGCAUGAGGACACAACUUAACUGAUAAUUUCUCAUGGAGUGAAAUGAGCCUAUGUGGUGGAACACCGAUGAAAGCAGGAGCCACCUCUAAGUCUAGCAGGGCAUGAUAACACACCUCACCUGUGAGUGUCUCAUGUCAUGUGGUGCCUGCUGGCUUGCUCAGGGAACCCAGGCUGUAACAGCCCUCUUCCUACCCUUACCCCCAAUCUAUCCCAACCCAAGAAGGAGCCAGCAGCGAAUGAGGGCACAUGGUGGAAUAUUCCAGAUUCCCCAUAAGGGUUCACAGCUCAUGGGGUGGUGCCCACAAUUUGGCACUCACUAUGAGCUAACGUGCAUGGCUAAAGGGCUGGCACAUGCUCAGUGAGCCUAGGAGAUGGCACCCCUCUGGCAGGAAGGAGCCAGGUCAGAUUAUAAGAUGUUGUGAGGGUCCAUGGUGGAAUAUUCCCUGCAGCUGGAUCACAAGGUGGCAUCCAGCCUGAGCCAAUAUACACGGACCUAGUACUCAUGUGUGUUCAGUACCCUCACCAGAGAGUGCCUGGUUGCUUCUGCUCCUGUCUGUGCUUCUGAUAUGGAAGAAAGGACAGCUGAGUCCAUUUAUUUCUUUAGCAACUGGAAAGGACUAAAGGAUUUGACAAAUGAAAGCUGUUUGAAAAAUUUAAAUGCACACAUUUAAAAUGAAUAAAAAUUAAAGUACAAGAAAUGUUUUUCAUUAAAAAUUACCAUGUGUCUGACAGAUGUGUAUGGAGGCUUGCUUGCCCCUGCUGGUGCAUGAAGAUCAAUAGAUAACUUUAUUGUGUGCAUUCUCUCCUUUUACCUCUUCUUAGAACCUAGAGAUCAGAUUCUGGUCCUAGGACUAAAUUGAUUUUACAUCCUUGAGAGUCACGCACCAUUCUCCACCAUGUCAUUUUGCAGGCCUCUCAGUCUAGUGAAAUACUUAGUGUUUUACUUUUUAAUGGUGAUUAAGAUUUAUAUUUGCUAUUAUUUUCAUAAUAAUGACCAAUGUGGUGAAUGUUCUUGCUUUUCAACUUAACUACAUCCUGAAUUAGCUAAAACCAAAAUGGCUGGGUACACCGGAGAGGAAUUUUUUCUUAUUUAAAUCAUUUGAAGUGGGAAGACGUACCCUAAAUUCAGAUCUUUUGAGAUGGGAAGAUUCACCUUAAAUCUGGGCCACACCUUCUGGUGGCGGUCUCUAUGGAGGACACGGAAGAGGGUAGCUCUUGCUCCUUGUCUUCUUGCCCUCAUUCUCACUAGCAAGUCCAUUCUUUCACUGGCAUUAGAGCCUGCUUCUUUGGGAGUCCAUCGCAUCCUGAAGAUCAGCUGAGUCAUCCAGCCUCGUGGACUAAACAAGAACAAGAAUCCAAUAGAUUCUUGGACUUUCCAUCAGGAGAAAGCCAUUGUUGGAAUUGUUGGACCACAGCCUG
Peromyscus maniculatus bairdii (prairie deer mouse) is the source of this 2784-nucleotide non-coding RNA. The record is from RefSeq and is a predicted model, not a curated record. Lineage: Eukaryota; Metazoa; Chordata; Mammalia; Rodentia; Cricetidae.